This is a long non-coding RNA of Mauremys mutica (yellowpond turtle), 349 nucleotides long. RefSeq lists it as uncharacterized. The record is from RefSeq and is a predicted model, not a curated record. NCBI's taxonomy places the organism in Eukaryota, Metazoa, Chordata, Testudines, Geoemydidae. The transcript has 3 exons.
UAAAAGGACCUGCAGGGACUGAGCAGGCUAGUUCCUGGUGGGGACCAGAGGAGCAAGGCAGGUACUUCAAACCUGAGGCGUAAAUCCUGCCCUUGCUUGUGUUGCUCCAGAGGAUACAAAAAGGGUAUAGGCAACUACAAAGCCCCACACAGUCAUGGUUUGGCUGCCAUGUAGAACUUCUCUAUCAUAGUCAACAGUGCGCUAGAAGAGAUACGAAGAUAAUAUGCCAGACCACACACCACACCCCCACUGAGAAACCUGAUACCACCAGAGGAAGGCCUGGGUCUGCUGGAGAAGUGCAAUGGAAAAGGAAUAAGAGCCAUGUCCUAAAGAAACAAGGGAAAGGGAG